This 350-nucleotide ribosomal RNA is filed under the name uncultured soil bacterium. RNAcentral describes it as "bacterial SSU rRNA". It matches the Rfam family "Bacterial small subunit ribosomal RNA", at positions 26 to 374 of the family's 1533-position model. The record is from RNAcentral.
AGGACGAACGCUGGUGGCGUGCUUAACACAUGCAAGUCGAACGGUAAGGCCCCUUCGGGGGUACACGAGUGGCGAACGGGUGAGUAACACGUGGGUAAUCUGCCCUGCACUUCGGGAUAAGCCUGGGAAACUGGGUCUAAUACCGGAUAUGAACUCCUGCCGCAUGGUGGGGGUUGGAAAGUUUUUCGGUGCAGGAUGAGCCCGCGGCCUAUCAGUCGUUGUUGGUGGGGUAAUCGGCCUAACCAAGGUCGACGACGGGUAGCCGGCCUGAGAGGGUGAUCGGCCACACGUGGACUGAGACCACGGCCCAGACUCUACGGGAGCAGCAGUAGGGAAUAGUUGCACGAAGU